UGGCGCACGGGUGAGUAACACGUAUGCAACCUGCCCCUGUCAGGGGUACAACCUUCCGAAAGGGAGGCUAAUACCGCGUAAAUCUCCGGAGGGCAUCCUGCGGGGAGGAAAGGAGAGAUCCGGACAGGGAUGGGCAUGCGGCGCAUUAGGCAGUUGGCGGGUACGGCCCACCAAACCGACGAUGCGUAGGGGUUCUGAGAGGAAGGUCCCCCACACUGGUACUGAGACACGGACCAG
RNAcentral lists this ribosomal RNA (237 nucleotides) under uncultured bacterium. RNAcentral describes it as "partial 16S ribosomal RNA". It matches the Rfam family "Bacterial small subunit ribosomal RNA", at positions 96 to 334 of the family's 1533-position model. The record is from RNAcentral.